RNAcentral lists this long non-coding RNA (242 nucleotides) under Helianthus annuus (common sunflower). Its description in RNAcentral is "sRNA HanXRQr2_Chr04g0184011". The record is from RNAcentral. Lineage: Eukaryota; Viridiplantae; Streptophyta; Magnoliopsida; Asterales; Asteraceae.
GGUUUUAGGAAAUUAUGUUUGGUGAUUCCUCAUUUUUUCAUACCGAACUAAUUUAUUAUUUGCUGUGAUUGUUUGAUUAGGUGACACUGACAUAUGGGAUCUCAUCAGAAGAAGAAGAGGAGGAAGAAGAAGAACCCUUGACUGAUGGGACCUCAUCCGAUGAGGUACUACACGAAAUAGGCUGGCUGUCUUCUAGAGCGUCCACAAUAAGUCUCGCAAGCUUGGAUGACAAUAAAUCUGUU